UGAUUUGUUGGACGCUAGCGGCGGAUGGGUGAGUAACACGUGGGCAAUCUGCCCUAAAGACUGGGAUACCACUUGGAAACAGGUGCUAAUACCGGAUAACAACAUGAAUCGCAUGAUUCAAGUUUGAAAGGCGGCGUAAGCUGUCACUUUAGGAUGAGCCCGCGGCGCAUUAGCUAGUUGGUGGGGUAAAGGCCUACCAAGGCAAUGAUGCGUAGCCGAGUUGAGAGACUGAUCGGCCACAUUGGGACUGAGACACGGCCCAAACUCCUACGGGAGGCAGCAGUAGGGAAUCUUCCACAAUGGACGCAAGUCUGAUGGAGCAACGCCGCGUGAGUGAAGAAGGUUUUCGGAUCGUAAAGCUCUGUUGUUGGUGAAGAAGGAUAGAGGCAGUAACUGGUCUUUAUUUGACGGUAAUCAACCAGAAAGUCACGGCUAACUACGUGCCAGCAGCCGCGGUAAUACGUAGGUGGCAAGCGUUGUCCGGAUUUAUUGGGCGUAAAGCGAGCGCAGGCGGAAUGAUAAGUCUGAUGUGAAAGCCCACGGCUCAACCGUGGAACUGCAUCGGAAACUGUCAUUCUUGAGUGCAGAAGAGGAGAGUGGAAUUCCAUGUGUAGCGGUGGAAUGCGUAGAUAUAUGGAAGAACACCAGUGGCGAAGGCGGCUCUCUGGUCUGCAACUGACGCUGAGGCUCGAAAGCAUGGGUAGCGAACAGGA
This 713-nucleotide ribosomal RNA is filed under the name Lactobacillus delbrueckii subsp. bulgaricus. RNAcentral describes it as "bacterial SSU rRNA". It matches the Rfam family "Bacterial small subunit ribosomal RNA", at positions 76 to 777 of the family's 1533-position model. The record is from RNAcentral. Lineage: Bacteria; Bacillati; Bacillota; Bacilli; Lactobacillales; Lactobacillaceae.